This 66-nucleotide transfer RNA is filed under the name Lactimicrobium massiliense. It matches the Rfam family "tRNA", at positions 5 to 66 of the family's 71-position model. From Rfam's summary of the family: Transfer RNA (tRNA) molecules are approximately 80 nucleotides in length. Their secondary structure includes four short double-helical elements and three loops (D, anti-codon, and T loops). The record is from RNAcentral. Lineage: Bacteria; Bacillati; Bacillota; Erysipelotrichia; Erysipelotrichales; Erysipelotrichaceae. RNAcentral also lists the same sequence under 2 other names.
UCGUAGCUCAGUUGGAUAGAGUAUCAGAUUCCGAAUCUGAGGGUCAUGGGUUCGACUCCCACCGAG